Non-coding RNA from Ameiurus melas (black bullhead), 79 nucleotides. The record is from the annotation of a GenBank genome assembly. NCBI's taxonomy places the organism in Eukaryota, Metazoa, Chordata, Actinopteri, Siluriformes, Ictaluridae.
GGUUCCAUGGUGUAAUGGUUAGCACUCUGGACUCUGAAUCCAGCGAUCUGAGAUCUGAGUUCAAAUCUCGGUGGAACCU